RNAcentral lists this transfer RNA (72 nucleotides) under Nocardia amikacinitolerans. RNAcentral describes it as "Nocardia sp. W9988 tRNA". It matches the Rfam family "tRNA". From Rfam's summary of the family: Transfer RNA (tRNA) molecules are approximately 80 nucleotides in length. Their secondary structure includes four short double-helical elements and three loops (D, anti-codon, and T loops). The record is from Rfam by way of RNAcentral. Lineage: Bacteria; Bacillati; Actinomycetota; Actinomycetes; Mycobacteriales; Nocardiaceae.
CGUGGAGUAGCUCAGCGGUAGAGCACCGACACGACACCUGGGAGGACGCUGGUUCGAUCCCCGCCUCCACGG